AGAAAUCACUCAAAAUUUUCAGUUUUUCCCUUCUCUACAGUCUCUUUUGUAGAAAUUUACUGCUGCAAUUUCUUUAUAUUUUUAUCAUUGUAGCUUUACUCUUUACGUUCCCAUUGUUUUUGACAAAUAAGAAUUACCUCUAUUUAUCUAGGAUAUAUCCCAUGUAUAUCAGAAAGAGGAAAUAUUACUAUUUUGAUGAUACGGUUAUCAAAAUUUUAUAAAGGCUGGUCGGAUAGCAAGGGAAAAUAUUUUAUGAAGGUAGGAUCACUUUCAUCUCGAGUGUUCUUAAUUCUCUCCCUAUUUGUAUCUUGUCUACUCUUACACCUACAAAAGAAACUCUAAAACUCACUGAGAAGCACUACUCCAAUUUUUUAUGAGGUUUCAAAGGUGAUAAGAAUUGUACCUAUUGGUGAGCAUGGGAUAAACUAUCAAAUUCCAAGGAAGAAGGAAGCAUCAACAUCAAAAGUAUACAAGAUAUAUGUAAAAGUGUGCAAUAUGCAACAUUGGUGGAGAAUCAAAACUGACAAAAUUAUUGUGGACUAAUUUGUUUUGAGCCAAGUGUUGUAUUAGAGUAUUCCAAAGACAAUGACAACAGAAGAUAUAAUUAAGCCUAUGAUAUCUGUAUGUCUAUUAUAUGAAAUUCUUUGCGAGUAUUGAGUGUUUUCUCAUUUAUUUAGUCCUUAGUCCAAUUUUUUUAUUGUCUAUCUUUGUGAUGUUUUGGGAUAUUUAUUUAGUCUUUGUGAGGACACUUUAAUGAAAAUAGCUAAAUAACUUAACUUUUCGCACUAUGCGCCUCUUGUAUUCUUUGUGUAGCUGAUAGAGUAUUAUGUACAUAGAUUGAAAAUGCAUUGUUUGUUGUGUCAACUAGGAGUCAUG
RNAcentral lists this long non-coding RNA (876 nucleotides) under Capsicum annuum. Its description in RNAcentral is "long non-coding RNA (CANN_LNC012296)". Lineage: Eukaryota; Viridiplantae; Streptophyta; Magnoliopsida; Solanales; Solanaceae. The record is from RNAcentral.